AACCGUGCGCUUACAAUCCGUCAAAGCCUUUGCACACUUCGGUGUGGUGGGUGAUGGCGUGCCUUUUGAAGAAUGAGCCAGCGAGUUAGUGGCAUGUCGCGAGGUUAACCCGUGUGGUGUAGCCGUAGCGAAAGCGAGUCCGAAUAGGGCGUUUUAGUGGCAUGUUCUAGACCCGAAGCGGAGUGAUCUACCCAUGGCCAGGUUGAAGCGACGGUAAGACGUCGUGGAGGACCGAACCCACUUAGGUUGAAAACUGAGGGGAUGAGCUGUGGGUAGGGGUGAAAGGCCAAUCAAACUCCGUGAUAGCUGGUUCUCCCCGAAAUGCAUUUAGGUGCAGCGUCGCGUGU
This 347-nucleotide ribosomal RNA is filed under the name Escherichia coli. RNAcentral describes it as "partial 23S ribosomal RNA". It matches the Rfam family "Bacterial large subunit ribosomal RNA", at positions 554 to 889 of the family's 2925-position model. Lineage: Bacteria; Pseudomonadati; Pseudomonadota; Gammaproteobacteria; Enterobacterales; Enterobacteriaceae. The record is from RNAcentral.